AGACGUCUACAUUACGAUACCCCCGUAGUCCCAGCCGUAAACUAUGCUCGCUAGGUGUCAGGCAUGGCGCGACCGUGUCUGGUGCCGCAGGGAAGCCGUGAAGCGAGCCACCUGGGAAGUACGGCCGCAAGGCUGAAACUUAAAGGAAUUGGCGGGGGAGCACAACAACGGGUGGAGCCUGCGGUUUAAUUGGACUCAACGCCGGACAACUCACCGGGGACGACAGCAAUAUGUAGGCCAGGCUGAAGACCUUGCCUGAAUCGCUG
Molecule: ribosomal RNA, 266 nt
Filed under: uncultured archaeon
Lineage: Archaea
Description: partial 16S ribosomal RNA
Rfam family: Archaeal small subunit ribosomal RNA
Source: RNAcentral